CUGAGUCAGCAGGCUCAGGGCCUGGAAGUCAGUGAUGGCUUCAUCACCACUUUGCCUUCUGUUUUUCUUCCCAUUUGUAUUUCAGCUUCUGACUAUGGAUUGUUUCUUUCGGAUGAAGACCCCAGGAAAGGGAUUUGGCUGGAAGCGGGCAGAACACUGGAUUACUACAUGUUGCGGAAUGGGGAUAUUUUGGAAUAUAAAAAGAAACAGAGACCUCAGAAAAUCCGGAUGCUGGAUGGAUCUGUGAAGACAGUGAUGGUGGAUGAUUCCAAGACUGUGGGGGAGCUCCUGGUCACUAUUUGUAGCAGAAUAGGAAUAACAAAUUAUGAAGAAUACUCCUUAAUCCAAGAAACUAUUGAAGAAAAGAAAGAGGAAGGAACAGGCACACUCAAAAAAGACAGGACACUGUUACGAGAUGAGAGGAAAAUGGAGAAGUUGAAGGCUAAGCUGCACACAGAUGAUGACCUAAAUUGGCUGGAUCACAGCCGAACAUUCAGAGAACAAGGAGUAGAUGAAAACGAAACGUUGCUGCUUAGACGGAAGUUCUUUUACUCUGAUCAGAAUGUAGAUUCGAGAGACCCCGUGCAGCUGAACUUGCUUUAUGUUCAGGCUCGGGAUGACAUCCUGAAUGGCUCUCACCCUGUCUCCUUCGAGAAAGCUUGUGAGUUUGGUGGAUUUCAAGCCCAGAUACAAUUUGGACCUCAUGUGGAACAUAAACACAAACCUGGAUUUUUAGAGUAAAUGACAUUUUGUUUCUCUUUUUUCUCUUUUCUCCUGUCUUCUUUCUCUUUCACCUUUUUAUUUUUGAGCUAGGUAUCUAAGAUCAUACCCUAAUUUCAAUCAGUUGUGAGAAUGCUAGCUUUUCUUCCAUCAAGUAGAUGACCAAAUUUGCAGAUUUUGGGGAAAGCAAUAGAAAUUCAGAAGUUUUUCUUGCUGAAUAGAAAUUCAGUGAUCUGUGUCUCCCUCCACCCCCUUUUUUUCCUUCUACUUCGUCUUAGUGAAGAGGAAAGUAA
Molecule: small RNA, 1013 nt
Filed under: Pongo abelii (Sumatran orangutan)
Lineage: Eukaryota; Metazoa; Chordata; Mammalia; Primates; Hominidae
Description: retained intron
Source: RNAcentral